This 1146-nucleotide long non-coding RNA is filed under the name Nicotiana benthamiana. Its description in RNAcentral is "long non-coding RNA (NBEN_LNC020527)". The record is from RNAcentral. Lineage: Eukaryota; Viridiplantae; Streptophyta; Magnoliopsida; Solanales; Solanaceae.
UCUGGUAGUCCUGAUGGUCCGAUUGUUGAGGUAUGCUCCUCUACUCACAGCUUAUAUGGAAGGACCUUCCUCCCCUCCUCCUCAAAAACAACAUAACAAUCCAUGUCAUUGUCUCUUAGGAACAAGUUCUUUACCGCAUCAAGUGCUUCUUCUUCGUCUGUCCCAUAAACAAUGUUAGCCUGUUGGAAAGUCAGCUCUAAAGGCGGUAUUGGCUGUUCCAGUGAAUAGUACGGACCGCGCUAUGAUGGGACCAAUUGUUAAAUUCUUCCCAAGUGUACUCGUAUCUUAGACCGAAAGUAGUGUCGUGCUUCUUGAGCUUUAUGGGUUUAGCAAUCCCCUGGAGGUUCUUGCCGAGUCCCUUGCCAGGUUCGUACUCACUCUAAUUCACGAUAAUUUUGAUCUUGUUGUCCUACCAUUUAUCUUUGUCUACAAAAUUGACUUGCUCGAUGUGGUGGCAGGUCUCUCCACCUAGAUUUCUUCUUCCCCCUAUUACCAGGACGGUCUGACGACUGUAUAUAGGAUUGCUGUCGUCACCGUGAAUGAUCACUUCCUAAUGAUUCCAUUCAAAUUUUAUGGCCUGAUGUAGUGUUGAAGCAGCAGUCAUAGCAUGAAUCCAGGGAUGACCUAGCAGUAGGUUGUAGGAUGUCGGCACAUCUAUUACUUGAAAGUCGACCGCGAACCAAGUCGGUCCCAUCUGCAGAUACAGGCUAAUCUCACCCAUCGUGGAUCUUUGAGAACCAUCGAAGGCUUUCACAUUGAUUGCUCCUUCUUUUAUCUCAUGCAGUUCUUUACCCAGCUUCUUGAGUGUUAUCAAUGGACAGAUAUUAAGGUUGGAACCCCCAUCGAUCAGGAUCCUAUUGAUGAGGUAGUCUUGCAUUGCACGGUGAUAUGCAAGGCUUUGUUGUGACCUAACCUUUCAGGCAAUAACUCAUCCUUAUAGAAGGUGAUUUUAUAGAUUUCUAAUACUUGUCCCACCAUAUUGGCCAUUUCUCCACCACUGAUGUUACUUGGUAGUAUGCCUCACUCAACACCUUUAAUAGAGCAUUUUUGUGUGUCUUGGCAUUGUGCAACAAUAUGAGGAUAGAUAUUUGUGUUGGUGUUUUGUGUAGCUAGUUGAUGACGGAUACUCCUUGGCCUGUAUCUUCC